CUUCCCCUCCCUUACUCCAGUCACUCUGUCCCCAGUGGAGUGGUCUGGCAUUGAUGGGAUAGAGCACCACGGCUAUCUCGCCUCUCUCAUUUAAGACAUUCACCUUAAAUUAGGCUUGUGAGAGAGCUGACAAU
Molecule: non-coding RNA, 134 nt
Organism: Salmo salar (Atlantic salmon)
Lineage: Eukaryota; Metazoa; Chordata; Actinopteri; Salmoniformes; Salmonidae
Source: Rfam